CCCCUUGCUAAAAAUAUGUACACGCCUUAUCUUAACUCUUGCCGGGGUUCGCUCCGGCUAUGGCGAUAAACGAUAGAUGGAAUAGGUGUAGUGGACCCGGGGGCAGUGCCCGGCGUCUCCACCAAGACCCUCCUUAGGAGGGCUAUGGGGACGAAACAGGCUCGACACGCACAGUAAAGAUCUAUUUUUUGCCCGGCAUGGUACCGCCGUCAUCGGGCUAAAUUUUACAAGUGCCAACGAUAACUCAGAGGUGCUCGCUGUUGCUGCAUAAGCGAUAAGCGCGGUUCGGGAGGCACCGGGCAACAGAAGCCUCCCACU
Molecule: transfer-messenger RNA, 318 nt
Filed under: Saccharibacter sp. EH60
Lineage: Bacteria; Pseudomonadati; Pseudomonadota; Alphaproteobacteria; Acetobacterales; Acetobacteraceae
Also listed under: 2 other names
Rfam family: Alphaproteobacteria transfer-messenger RNA
About the family: Bacterial tmRNA, also known as 10Sa RNA or SsrA, is named for its dual tRNA and mRNA-like properties. Its role is to liberate the mRNA from a stalled ribosome.
Source: RNAcentral